UACCAGCACCCCGAGUGGUCGGGACGAUUAUUGGGCCUAAAGCAUCCGUAGCCGGUUUUACAAGUCCUCCGUUAAAUCCAGCUGCUUAACAGAUGGGCUGCGGAGGAUACUAUAAGACUAGGAGGCAGGAGAGGCAAGCGGUACUCAGUGGGUAGGGGUAAAAUCCGUUGAUCCAUUGAGGACCACCAGUGGCGAAGGCGGCUUGCCAGAAUGCGCUCGACGGUGAGGGAUGAAAGCUGGGGGAGCAAACCGG
This 253-nucleotide ribosomal RNA is filed under the name uncultured bacterium. Its description in RNAcentral is "partial 16S ribosomal RNA". It matches the Rfam family "Archaeal small subunit ribosomal RNA", at positions 474 to 727 of the family's 1478-position model. The record is from RNAcentral.